This is a long non-coding RNA of Haemorhous mexicanus (house finch), 1065 nucleotides long. RefSeq lists it as uncharacterized. The transcript has 4 exons. Lineage: Eukaryota; Metazoa; Chordata; Aves; Passeriformes; Fringillidae. The record is from RefSeq and is a predicted model, not a curated record.
CCAUACAAUUUUACUUGCUCUUGCAGGAAUUUGAUGAGACCAGUGUUUGCAAAGAACAGUAGUACAGCUGAGUUGAAUUUGCACAAGUUCUUGGUCAGCUGCCCCCAAGGACAGAUGAAAGGAGACAGAGUGCCCAGCUUGACAUAAUUUGCCCUUUUUGCAGGUGGACGUCUAAAUGAUAAAUAAGUAGCUUCCACAGUUCUUUCACUCUGAAGAAUCAUUCUGACUACAGCUAAAGGCCAGAGCCUUCCUGUGUCACUCUUUUCUGCUACACAAGUCAAGAAAGCCAGAGAUUUCAUGACCUCAUCAUGUUUGCUUCAAGAGACAAAAAAAACUCCAUUAAAACCACAGUGAUGCUGUAUGCCAAGAAAUGGAUUAAACACCUAAAUCCUGGAGAAACUCCAUACUUGAUUGAAAACACGUAAGUUUUCGGUACCUUACAUGUCUUGCCCCCUAGUUCUAGGGGCUCUACUCAUUGCUUGAGAAAUAGGAUGUGUAGUUUGUCAAAAAGAAUAUGAAUUAUUCUGGAAUUAUUCUUUCAGCAGAAACUACACAGCCUGCUCAGCACCACUGUUUUUAUUUUCUUCCUACUUCCACUUUAAAUCCAGGUUGGAGUUCUUCCUGAGAUCAGCAUUAGUCAAAAGGCUCAUCAGAGUAAUACACAGGUUAGCCUUUAUGAAAAGGAAAGCUACAUAAUUUAUAGGUCUUUCUAGCAAAAAACAAGCUUGCACAUUCUAAGAAUAUUACCAAAAUUACACUAACAUGCAAAGUCAGUUUCCUUACUGUUUGGACAGAAGCUGCCUUCAGGGUCUCUGUAAGGAUGGAGUGUGAUAAUGGGCCGAUCAGCCGGUAUCUGAGAAUCUCCAUGCUCCUGUCACUGAAACAGGAAAGUUUCAGGUGGAUGUACAAUUUUACAACACACAUUAUUUUCCCCAGUACUGUUAAGCCAGAAAUGCAGCUAUGUUUUGUGGUUAUGGGCCACAGCUUCUGACUCAACUGUGAACAAACCUGAUUACAAUGCCAGUAGUCCGUGAGAUCCAAGAGUAGGACUGGAAUGGAUCUCUA